UGAACCAAGAAGCCACUGCUGCAAAGCUCUUUCCCCCCUGCUGCAACAUGGGUUCAGGUUUGUUGAGCGUUUCUAAGGGUUAGGACAUGAUUCCAAGGGCCAGCAGAAUGCGGAGCUGAGUGUUUGAAGAGUUAACAGAUACACAGAGACUGCUACCGAGAAACACAGGGAAGACGUUGCUGUCACUUAACUGAGAAGAUUGAUGGGGGCUGGAUCUCUAACAAGGCUAGAAAGGUUGGGUUGAGUUAAAAUUAGAAGUUGACAACAAAUUGGAUGUUCUUCACAUUUGGGAUCUGAACGAAGGGAGGAGAAUGAAGCUAACUGCCACUUAAUUUGGCAGUAAUUGGUGGAGAUUGAUGAUGAUAAAUAGUUCCCAGUGGUCUAGGAAGAAUGAGUUGCUGUAUAUUUGUAUGAAUUCAGGUUGCAGGGAAAGAGAUACAAAUGUCUUGGAAAUCAACAGUGAUUCCCAUAUGUGCCACCAGCAAACUGCACACAGGUUGUUUGUAGAAAGGCCUGAACGAGUAGUUCUUCACAUUUCAAGCUAGUUGUGACCAGUCUUCCUGCCUAUUUUCUUUGCUGCCGGUGUGCCAUGAUUCUUGAGGGUCUAGUGGGUGUUUGUCAAGGGUGUAGAACAAGUUUUGAGUUUCAGAACAACGCGGAAUUAUUGGCUUUGGAGGAAGAGGAUUGGGUUUGAUUUGGACUGAACAGAGUUUUGGUGCCAAGACAGUAAAGAAGACUUGCUGCUAUUAGUUCCUUUUGAUGAAUGACAGAAGAUUGAGGAAGGAGUUUUCGCAAUCUGCAAUGUUAUACCGAUGGUACUGAUGGGUUCUUGCCAAGGAUUAAGAAGUCAUAGCGAGUUUUGAGCUUAGUUUGGCCGAGAAGUCAGUUGGAAUUAAAGUGAACUACUGCCGUUGAUUAUUGUGGAUGGAUGAAAGAGAUUAAGCGGUGAAUUAGAGUUUUGUGAAUGAAUGGGAGACUUGGGUCGUUAUCUGUUUAGAUAUGAGCUAUAAAAGAAGACCUAACCCUACAGAAAACACACAUCUCAUACCCCUGCGACUGCUUCACCACCUACAUGGAGGAGCUUUGCUCCUCUCCAAACCCUUCCAUCGCCACCUUCUCAUACCAUCAGCAUACCACCAUCUGUAUCCCCACUACCAUCUGCAUAACAUUCAUCUCACAGCAUAUCCGCUUGCAUCCACCAGCAUACACAAUUCCAUCUUCACCACCAUCCUUGCAUACCACCAGUUCCCAGUACCACCUGCAUACAUCACCAACAACAGCUGGAGUUCAAGUUCCAUCCUUCAUUCAUAACAGCAGCUUCCAUCACCAGCACUCCACUUGUUCGCAGCAACUUCAACUCGCAACAACGGAAAAACAGCAGACCACCUCCAGAAUUGCAGUCUAUACCUCCAGUUCAUACGCCGCCGCCAUACUACCACCCGUUCGCAUAAGUUCCACCAGUCCACAUGUUGCUGCCUUGGUUUGCUAGUUUGGUUUGCUGUUACAGUUUUCAUAUUUUUAUUUUAUUUCACCAUGAACUCCAGUUGCUAAUUGCAUUUGAUUAGGGAUGAUUUCGACGUCCGAACAUGAUUCAUAAUUGAUAUUUAAAAAACCUGUUUUCUUGCAAUUGUCUUAUUAUUGUUCAUUCUCUACUGUACCAAUAAUGAUUAUGAGUUGUUUCUCAAUCAUUUAAGUUGCAAAUUGAAUGGUUGUUUGAUGAUUCUAUUGCUAAUUCGAGACUUCUUCGACCCGUAAUUGUCUAGAUGUUCCGUGUACAAGUAGCGAUAUAUAGGUAUUGAUGAUGGGAUUUUGUUAAGUACCCGUAUGUAUGAAUGACACUAGUAGGUAAUUCAUGACACUAGUAGGUAAUUCAUGUUUUUGAUUUUUAUCAUUAGGAAUAACCUUAUCUCAUAAAACUUUAGGCAUUAGUUUAAGUCACACCUAGAGAGCGUUCUUUUAGGAAACUAGACAAGUAGACUCCGAAAGUCGAGCGCUUCCGUAUCCGGUGAAUUUUGGAGAUAAUAACGGAAUAGUCGAGCGUACUAAUUAUUCUAGGGUUGUUAGUAACGGGAUACUUUGGAGAAACUAGCUAUAUUAAUAAGAUUCAUGUUUUGUGACCGAGAAAAAGUCUUUGAUCAUUCUCAUCCUCAUAUUUGCAUUUAUUUCUGUCCAUAUUGUCUUGCAUUAUUCAUUCGGAAAUUGAGUUGACAAUUUUUGACUCUCCACUACUCCCUUGGGACGAACCUGCUUGUCCGUAUACUACUAGUUAGUUUAAAGAGAAGUAAGGAAAUUAUUAUUUGCGAGUGGCGCCGCUGUCGGGGAGGCAGUGGCAAGUUUCGUUGUUAUUUUUAUUCUUAGUUUUUAUUUUUGCAUUUGGUUACAUUUCCAAUUUAUUAAAUCACUCUUUUAGAAAUUAUAUUUCAGGUACUAAUUCAUUGGUGAAUGUGUGGAGAGGACAAAGAGGAAGACAACACAACGGGAGCUCCACCACCUGCUCCAAGAACAUUAAAGGAACUCACUUCUACAAAUCUUGACCAGCAGGCUCUAUGUAUUCAGCUGGAUGGAACCAUUGAAUUGAAGCCGCAAUUGAUUCACUUGUUUCCCAAAUUCAGUGGGUUAGCGGGAGAAGAUCCUAACCAUCACUUGCAAUAAUUUCACCAUGUUGUGACUAGUUUGAAGCAAGUAACUUCAGAUGGUGAUAUGGCUAUGAUGACAGCCAUUACGUUUUCACUUAUAGACUCUGCAGGAGAUUGGUUGUACUAUUUACCUCCUGGGAGUAUAACCACAUGGAAUGGGAUGAAGAGGUUAUUCCUUGAGAAGUAUUUUCCGGCAUCAAAAGCAGCAGUGAAUCGCAAGGAAAUUUGUGGUAUUGUGCAGACAUCGGGAGAGACUCUCUAUGAGUAUUGAGAGCGCUACAAGAAGCUUUUAGCUAGAUAUCCACAUCACCAAAUCAGUGAUCAACUUGUCAUUCAAUAUUUCUAUGAGGGAUUGCUUUUUAAUGAAAUACAAUUGAUCGAUGCCGCAAGUGGUGGUGCACUUACGAACAAGACCAUUGCUGAAGCUAGAAGCUUGCUAGAGAACAUGACUGCAAACACGCAGCAAUUCUACACUAGAGGUGAACCAAUGGUAAGUAACGGUAUUUGGCAAUGGUUCAGUGACUGUGUGCAAGGAGUUUUUGACAGUAGCUGGGACGUGACUUAGAGGCUACAAAAUAUGGAGAUUUGGGUACAAUUUGGAUCCGAAUUUGGUAGUCAGUAAGGUUGGUGAAUGUUGAGUAUUGCUGGGUUUGUGGGAGGUUACGAUAUUGGAGGAGAAGAAAAGAUAUAUAGAGGCGCAUAAAUACAG
Molecule: long non-coding RNA, 3345 nt
Organism: Papaver somniferum (opium poppy)
Lineage: Eukaryota; Viridiplantae; Streptophyta; Magnoliopsida; Ranunculales; Papaveraceae
Exons: 2
Source: RefSeq, a predicted model, not a curated record